CUUGAGCUACAUCCACUGUUAAAGUUGUCGGAAGGGAAACAAUAUAACAUUGUAUGAGUACCUCUAGUACCCCCACUAUCUCGUAUGAUUGAGGAAGCAAGCUUUGUUGAAAGCUUGAAGAUCUUGCUUCUGCCACUCGUAUUGCAAGUCACAAAGAUUGUUGAAUGGUGUCAAGAUAAACAUCUCCUCUAGCAUCUUCUUGAACUGUGGCCAAGAGGAAAAGAUUCCUUCUUGCUCCAGACUGUGAAACCAUUCUGAAGCAAGCUCCUUCAAGUACAUAGCCGCAAAUGGAACCUUCUUGUGGUCCUUCUGCUUCCUGAAGACAAAAUUCCUUUCCAAUUGCCUGAUCCAUUCUUGCAGCUUCAAUUGGUCAUUUGCCCCAUUGUCUUGAUCCACUGGAAAUUUCUCUAGAUCCUGCCAUCUGGAGGUUUGAGGUCCCCAACCCAAGAUCCCUUUGCCCGCUAGAAGAUCCACCUGACAAAUCUUGUCAAGGAGAUCCUCAUACCAGGGUGUCUACUCGAUUAUUGGUAGCGGCCGAGAACUAGAAUCGACAAAGACUUCCUCCUUCGAAGAUGAUCUUCGUUAAGUCCCCCUCCUUCGAGCCAUGCAGCCCCCAGUCCACUAGCAAGCCUGAACUAUUUGUCACUGAUCUGCUGCAACACCAAUGCUGUGGCAUGCUCCAAAGACUGCAAGGUUUGCUGGAGUUGAUCUUGCUGGCUCACUAAUUGCUUAUGGUUUUCAAGAUACUGCUGCAUAAACGAUUGAAGUGCCCCUUCAACUCAUUCACCAAUUCCCCAGCCAUGGUGUGCUAUGGCGAUUCCUCCAAGUCUGGAACAACGUUGAUGCUUGAUCCGCCUCCUCCUCCCGUCGAUCUUGUGAUUUCUUGAUCGCCCACAGAAUGGUGCUUAUAUUUGGAUCCUCGCCAUACCACACUGCCAAAGACAAAAACCUCGACUGCCCACGAAGAAACCUUACCACACAACGGAGGACGGAUCCCAGAUCACAAUGAAA
Molecule: long non-coding RNA, 1011 nt
Filed under: Selaginella moellendorffii
Lineage: Eukaryota; Viridiplantae; Streptophyta; Lycopodiopsida; Selaginellales; Selaginellaceae
Description: long non-coding RNA (SMOE_LNC000407)
Source: RNAcentral